RNAcentral lists this non-coding RNA (24 nucleotides) under Arabidopsis thaliana (thale cress). The record is from RNAcentral. Lineage: Eukaryota; Viridiplantae; Streptophyta; Magnoliopsida; Brassicales; Brassicaceae.
UUAGCUUCACUAAUCCCCGUCGUA